AGAGUUUGAUCCUGGCUCAGGACGAACGCUGGCGGCGUGCCUAAUACAUGCAAGUAGAACGCACAGUUUAUACCGUAGCUUGCUACACCAUAGACUGUGAGUUGCGAACGGGUGAGUAACGCGUAGGUAACCUGCCUGGUAGCGGGGGAUAACUAUUGGAAACGAUAGCUAAUACCGCAUAAUAUUGAUUAUUGCAUGAUAAUUGAUUGAAAGGUGCAAUUGCAUCACUACCAGAUGGACCUGCGUUGUAUUAGCUAGUAGGUGAGGUAACGGCUCACCUAGGCGACGAUACAUAGCCGACCUGAGAGGGUGAUCGGCCACACUGGGACUGAGACACGGCCCAGACUCCUACGGGAGGCAGCAGUAGGGAAUCUUCGGCAAUGGACGAAAGUCUGACCGAGCAACGCCGCGUGAGUGAAGAAGGUUUUCGGAUCGUAAAGCUCUGUUGUAAGAGAAGAACGGGUGUGAGAGUUGGAAAGUUCACACUGUGACGGUAUCUUACCAGAAAGGGACGGCUAACUACGUGCCAGCAGCCGCGGUAAUACGUAGGUCCCGAGCGUUGUCCGGAUUUAUUGGGCGUAAAGCGAGCGCAGGCGGUUAGAUAAGUCUGAAGUUAAAGGCUGUGGCUUAACCAUAGUACGCUUUGGAAACUGUUUAACUUGAGUGCAGAAGGGGAAGAGUGGAAUUCCAUGUGUAGCGGUGAAAUGCGUAGAUAUAUGGAGGAACACCGGUGGCGAAAGCGGCUCUCUGGUCUGUAACUGACGCUGAGGCUCGAAAGCGUGGGGAGCGAACAGGAUUAGAUACCCUGGUAGUCCACGCCGUAAACGAUGAGUGCUAGGUGUUAGGCCCUUUCCGGGGCUUAGUGCCGCAGCUAACGCAUUAAGCACUCCGCCUGGGGAGUACGACCGCAAGGUUGAAACUCAAAGGAAUUGACGGGGACCCGCACAAGCGGUGGAUGAAGUUGGAUUAAUUCGAUGCAACGCGAAGAACCUUACCUGGGCUUGACAU
Molecule: ribosomal RNA, 1008 nt
Filed under: uncultured bacterium
Lineage: Bacteria
Description: bacterial SSU rRNA
Rfam family: Bacterial small subunit ribosomal RNA
Source: RNAcentral